AAAUCCCUGCUGUGUUCGUGAGAAUAGCCGAAUGUUUUUGCCAACACCAAAAACUAGGGAACCCGGACUCCGUGUGUGGACUGUAUACCUGUUUAGCCAGGAAACAAAAGAUACAUGGGAGGGCACCCACCUGCUGAGUCAGGUUUAAACUACGGCACCACGGCUCGGUGGGGUUUUU
Molecule: non-coding RNA, 178 nt
Filed under: Syntrophomonadaceae bacterium
Lineage: Bacteria; Bacillati; Bacillota; Clostridia; Eubacteriales; Syntrophomonadaceae
Description: 6S RNA
Rfam family: 6S / SsrS RNA
About the family: E. coli 6S RNA was the first non coding RNA to be sequenced, but its function was unknown until recently. It consists of 184 nucleotides that fold into an extended hairpin structure with a large single-stranded internal bulge. The 6S RNA specifically associates with RNA polymerase holoenzyme containing the sigma70 specificity factor.
Source: RNAcentral